Molecule: long non-coding RNA, 1029 nt
Filed under: Numida meleagris (helmeted guineafowl)
Lineage: Eukaryota; Metazoa; Chordata; Aves; Galliformes; Numididae
Description: lncRNA (ENSNMEG00000008326.1)
Source: RNAcentral
UCCUACUUCGAAGAACAUUUAUUUGCUGGAGUUUCACCCUUCUCUUGGUCUGAUGUGCUCAAUCCCCAAAGCUCUGGAGUGUAUCUACCAGGAGUUCUACAGCAUGUGUAGACCCAAAACAGCCAGUAGAGCAAUUAAACUAGAAAAACAAGUACUUCAGCUGGCACUUGAUGAGUGGCUGACUAUGGAAAAACCAGAAUCUUUCUACAGCUCUCAGAUUCAAAAAGAUUUGUUUGCAGAGGUACUGAUCGAGGACCCUGUGCUGGUACAAGAGAUUGCUUUGUCACUAUUAGAGGUGGGAGCAGACGAAGAAAGAAAAGAAGGCAAAGAAAGGCAGUUCUUUAUCCUGGAUUCAUUCUCCAUGCUCCUGGAGCUGAUCACACUCCGGCAUCGGUUGACUGAGGUGGCAACAGAGAGCGUGCGGUUAGCCAGUUUAUAUAAGGCUUUUGCAAUGGAAGCAGGUUUUGGGGAGUUCCAUUUGUAUCUGAGGCCAGUGCACUUCGAAUCUGCACUUCACAAGGAGAAAGCAGACCGUCUGCCACCAACGUUUAUUACUUCUCUGCUGGAAGAUGACAGCUGUGUUGACAGAUAUAUUCCAAGUAGCUUACCAUUAAGCAUUCAAGAGAUCGACAGUCAUGUUGGAAAAUUUAGUUUCAGGACCAGAGAUGGUGUUAUGCAGCUCUUGUGUCCAUCUGGAAUAAAGAGCAUGCAACUUAUCCUUGCCUGCCAGGUUGUUCAGAAAAAUGCUCUUUUGGCAGCUGUUCAGCAAGCCUCCUUUUGUUACCUGGUCCAGUUUACCCAUUCCCUGGACGUAAAGGUCAGUAACACCCUCCUCAAAUUGUACUAUUAAUAGAUUUUGUCAGACUUAGCAGAAAGAAGGCACCUGUUAAUUCUGCUUGUAAUCACUUGGAUGGUAAUCCUGUGAAACUCUUGGAACAGCAUCACCGAUGACUGAAGGAACUGCAGUGAUUGUCUAUUAGCAUAUGACAUAAAAAUAAAUGGUAUCACAUCUGUGACUUUAUUUAAAGU